RNAcentral lists this long non-coding RNA (734 nucleotides) under Mus musculus (house mouse). RNAcentral describes it as "RIKEN cDNA G630016G05 gene". Lineage: Eukaryota; Metazoa; Chordata; Mammalia; Rodentia; Muridae. The record is from RNAcentral.
GGGAGCGCGCCCUCUCCCCAACUUCUCACCCUCGCCCUGGGUUCCGGGCCCCAGGCCCAGAGAAUAGCAAACAGAAACUUCAAGAUUACAAAUAUCCGUCUCAUUUGAUGCUGAAUUACUCGUGGACAGAUAAGAAAAGGUCUGUUUGGACAUUCAAAGAAGCUACACAUACAAAGAUGGUUUGGCUCGGUGCCGUCAGACACAGCACUUUGAAGAAAAAAAACACAGAAAGAAAGAAAGGAAGGAAAGAAGGAAGGAAGGAAGGACAGAAGGAAGGAAGGAAGGAAAGAAGGAAAGAAGGAAGGAAGGAAGGAAGGAAGGAAGGAAGGAAGGAAGGAAGGAAGGAAGGAAAAAUGUCUGAGCGUUUCCAUGCUCAUCUUUGCCUCAAAUAAAUACUUCCAGGUUUUGCCGUAAUGAUCUGCAGAAGAGAGCUGCCAUCACUUUCUCACAUCCCAAGGUGUUGGCGGAACUCGGAGCGAGGGGAGAGUGCCUGUAAUGCUUAAUUGCCAAGGGGAGGGCGGGGUGCCACUCGGGACCCCGGGCGGGGCUUGGGGAGGUAAGGUGCAACCAAGGAGGUCUUUCUGGACGCUGGACUCUUCAGUUGGAGAAUAUUUGGACAAGGUAUGAUUGCCUCCCACCUCCCACCUCCCACCUCUUUUCCCCAAUGCCUUUGGGGGAGAAGUGAUACCCUUGUGUAACAAUUAGCUCAGACAAUAAAAAUAAUUGGAAAAUCA